GGUGAUAUAGUGAGACUGUCUCAAAAAAAUUACAAAUAUAUGUGUACUUGUGUGUGUGUGUGUGUGUGUGUAUAUAUAUAUAUACACACAUAUAUAUAUCCAUGUUUG
This 108-nucleotide microRNA precursor is filed under the name Otolemur garnettii (small-eared galago). RNAcentral's name for it is "miRNA (ENSOGAG00000028338.1)". The record is from RNAcentral. Lineage: Eukaryota; Metazoa; Chordata; Mammalia; Primates; Galagidae.